GGGCCCCACUCCUCAGUGUGCCCUUAGAGAAAAGCGCUCAAUCACUCCCAUACCCCUGGCCUCCAGCUGUGCUCCGAGCUCACCUAGCCUGUGACCAAGCAUCUCCAUCUCUGGCACACACCUCUGCCUGGAGUCUCCGAACCCUGCAGAUCCCUGGGCUCUUCCAGGAGGGGUCUCCCUGGAUCUUGUGGGGACCCCACUCACAGAGCAGUGGCCUGUACCACAGAUUAUGGUUCAAGGAAGAAAUAUUUAUUGAAA
Lutra lutra (Eurasian river otter) is the source of this 258-nucleotide long non-coding RNA. RefSeq lists it as uncharacterized. The record is from RefSeq and is a predicted model, not a curated record. NCBI's taxonomy places the organism in Eukaryota, Metazoa, Chordata, Mammalia, Carnivora, Mustelidae. The transcript is spliced from 3 exons.